RNAcentral lists this RNase P RNA (374 nucleotides) under Deltaproteobacteria bacterium GWA2_55_82. RNAcentral's name for it is "RNase P RNA component class A". It matches the Rfam family "Bacterial RNase P class A". From Rfam's summary of the family: Ribonuclease P (RNase P) is a ubiquitous endoribonuclease, found in archaea, bacteria and eukarya as well as chloroplasts and mitochondria. RNAcentral also lists the same sequence under 3 other names. The record is from RNAcentral. Lineage: Bacteria; Deltaproteobacteria.
GGAGGAUGCCGGGCGGCCGCUGGCUUUUAAGCCAGAGGAAAGUCCGGACACCAUAGGGCAGGGAGGUCGCUAACGGCGACCGGGGGCGACCCCAGGGAAAGGGCCACAGAAAAUAUACCGCCGCGCGUCGAGCGCGGUAAGGGUGAAAAGGCGGGGUAAGAGCCCACCAGCCUGCCGGGUGACCGGCAGGGCUUGGCAACCCCCUCCCGGUGCAAGGCCAAAUAGGUUCCGCUUCAAGGACGGCCCGUCCUUCAUCCCUCAAGGAGGGCGGAACGGGUUGGCUGCUCGAGCCUGCUGGCAACAGCAGGCCCAGAUGAAUGGCCGCCGCCCGGUUUCGACCGGGAACAAGAUCCGGCUUAUGGCAUCCUCCGGCU